GUUAAUGAUUCCCCUUUUAAUUAGGAUUGGGCUGGAUUUUUGAUAGACCCAUUUAGAGAUCCAUGGUUUCGUUUUUGUUUUUUAAUACAGAAUCAAAUGUUUUUUUUUUCUUUUGGACAGAAGUGAUUAUAGCACGAUUCUUUGUCUUAUGGUCUUCAAAGAAUGAAUCCCUAAAAAUCAGAAGCUUUUCCGAUUUCUCAAUCAAUGUCAAAAGUUUCGAUCAUCAAUCGAGUCUCUGUACAUAUAAUUUCCAUAUCAGAUUCGGAAUUUCUCCAAAGAGAGAUCUUGGGCUAUUACUGUGGGUAUACGAACUUGCAUGAAUAAUGAUUGGAUGAUGAUUUUGUCUGAGGAAGACGAUUUACAAAGUUAAGCUUUCUAUUACAGCUCUUACAUAACAAAACAAUGUCUUAAUAUAUAUGGUUCUGAUUUUACCAAAUACAAUGUUUACAGAGAAGGCAAAAUAUUCGAGUUGAUUUCAAUCUGAGAAGACAAAUUUGAUGUCCUUUAGUAGCCAUAACGGAAUCUGGAAGCUAUUUUAAAGACCAGGCAACAUCUUUAAAGAAGGCAAAUGUGAAAGCAAUGAUAAAGCUAGUCCAGCUUCUGAAAGCACUGAUAAAGGGCUUAAUGUCAGCAAGAGGGGUGAAUGCUUGAAUAGCUGCCAUUUUAUUAGAGAAAUAGUGAAGUGGUAAUGGUAAAGCUUUGAAAGAUUCGGAAAUUUGAAGUAAAAGGGAUUAACGAUGGGCCUGUAGGAAAUAUCUAAGCCCAAUAGGAAAUAUAGAAUCUCAUCGGGUCAGAUUCACAGACGCAAAAGAUCCGAGUGUAGGAUCCGGGAUCCGCGUCUCGCGUGCGGGAAUUUUACAAUUUUACCCCUCCACGCAAAUUUUUAUUUUGUCUUUGAAAUUUUAAUUGUAAUGGCAUUCUCUUGUAAUUAUUUACACUUGGUAAGGUUAUUUUUCAUGUAAUCCUUCCCAAUUAAUAGUAUAGAUAAU
Molecule: long non-coding RNA, 989 nt
Organism: Arabidopsis lyrata subsp. lyrata
Lineage: Eukaryota; Viridiplantae; Streptophyta; Magnoliopsida; Brassicales; Brassicaceae
Exons: 6
Source: RefSeq, a predicted model, not a curated record